UCUGACGACUUUAUUUAGGCUUCAAAAUGUAUACAUGUUGUGUUAACAUGUAAAGAUAAUCUUGAUAGACAAAACGUGUAAGUGUCAUAACCCUUUGUUAAACACAGAGCUUAUUUUGUGUAAUUUUCCAAAAGUCUAUGGGAAAAAUGCAUAGGCUUUCGAUCAAGGGAACCUGUGCGCCGCUAACUUCCGGGUUAGCCUACAAAAACACGUCAUCUCUGAGGUACUCUAUAGGCACGUAGUUUUUCUUUACAAAGUGCCAUCUGCCAACUACUGGCCUGCAUGCAUAAUACAGCGUUUUUAAUCAUUUUCGCAGAUCCAUGUGAUCGGGGAUCGUUUUGAAAAUGUUGUCUUCUGUACGUGGAAAAUUGCAAAGGACAUUUUAGGACAUUGUUGUCACGUACCCUUAGUUUCAAAUAGACGACUUUGCUUUGAUGGGAGUGGAUCGGUUGAGGUUUCCAAUUAAUUCUGCAGCCCUAACACCCAUAACAUAACCAACUAUAAGUAGCCUAUUUGCUGGUUGAUUAAAUACUAUAGAAGUUCAAUGACCAAAGACUUCCAUCACAUUUAAGUCUGUACUCAAUGACAGUACUGUGCUUUAGUUCCAUCCUUCUGUCAAACCCAAUUAUAGUACUGCACAGCUACAGCAAUAUUUUAUGUCAGUCAUAUUUCCUCACAUGUAAUCAGCAACAACUUGUGUAAAUACAUAUUUGUUUUUAUUUUUAUAGUUUAUCAUUUAUUCAUCAUGUUCUUAAUGAAUCCUGUUCUUUCUUGCGGAGUUAGUGGUCAUAAGUCUCAUGCAAAAACAUAAUCAAAAUGCAAAUGAAGAGUGAAAACUAAUAACCAAAGACAAAUAUCAGGCGUGUUUGGGGAGCAGAGGGUAGGGGAGGGAGGUUGUCACACACAAAUAAAUCAUAUGGAGAAGCCAAUAAACCGCAGCAGAACGAGUAUGAAUGCUGUCUUGUGCCACGAAAUAUUAGGCUGUGCAAGUAAUCCGUACAGACGACGGACACCUGGAAUGCGAAGCAGCAUCGAUGGCCAACUCGUGUCAAGCCGUCAGCUCCACUGGCCCGAGAGACCAGUGUGUUUGAUUGAUGAGCGGGAAGCGCGAGGAGACCUGCGCAGAAUUAAUGUCGCGUGCACUUAAAGUGCGCAUGCGCUGAUUCGAAGCGAUUCCCUCCCAAUGCUUGUUCAGACAUUUUAACGUCUUUUUUUAAAAAAUUUAAAGAUUUUUGCAUGUUAUUUUUCCCUUUUUAGAUUUGCUUUGAUGUUUUAACGGUUUACCAUAGUUUCUGCUGAAAUACACUGUUACAAACUUAGGCUGUCACAUUUAAAAAAGAAUGUCCUUCAAACAAAGCUUUUUGAUUUGUUAUUACGUUUUUCAUGACAAUAUAAAAACGGCAGCUUAUACCAAGUUAAAUCAGUUUUGUGGCUUUUUCACACUGUUUUUACCCCCCUUUUAACCUAUGGAAACUAUGCUUUUGCAGUGUUAACCCUGAAUUAUGGUCCCCCAAACGUUACAAUAUCAAGGAAAUCAAAGUGAGCCAGCUGUACAUUUCAUGUGAACUCCGGUGCAGUUCAGGUAUUCAAGCAAAUGAACAUUCAGCAGAUCAUCUCCGUUUGUAUUCUUUGAGUUUGGAAAAGCUUGAGGUGAAAGACUCUCCUGAGAGUGUGUGACCCAGGCUCCUCACACAUCUGAUGAGAGACCUAAUAGUGUCAUAUCCAGCAGAGUGAGGAGGAUGCCAAGAGCAAAAUCUACCCGGACAUUAGAAUUUCCCAGAGAGAUAAUGAGCUUUUUGUGAGGGGUGAAAGGGGCUCCCUUAAUCUGGUUCACACAGUCUCUACCUUUGGUGUAGCGCUGCUACAUUUGAGCCAGGUCUGAUUGAAGAGGGCAGCGGGUCAAUGGAUGGAUGGAUAGAUGUAGGGCAAAAAGGAGGAGAGGACAGAGGAAUGGCCAGAGGGGAGGUGUAAAGGGGAGCGUGUGGGGCAUCCCAGGCUGAAGCUUUGAGGAUUAACGGGGUGACUUCUCUUGUGGAAUGUUCAGCCGACAGCCAAGACCCUCCUACUCUGUCAGACAGGUGCACGACAGACCCAAAAAAUGAUAAGAGUGAAAGAAGAAAAUUCAAAAGGGGAAAAUAAUGUUAUGCACUGAUGAGUGCUUCACUAAACACUUAUCUUUCAAUAGCUCUCAACCAUUUAAAAUCAAACAGGGCUGUUUUGACUGAACUGAUCAGAGCUUUCAAAUACAGAACGAAACAUUAAUUUUGUUUAUUAAUGAAAACUGAGAGAUUAAAUCUCUCAAAGCAGCUUUAUUUUUUCUUUCUUUGCCUCAAAUAUACAAUGCUUGAAUGAAAAUGAGGUCAGUAUGAUAAACUGUCAUUAUAGGUGGAAACAACUUGAUAAUAUACUGUGAGAAGGUAAGUGUAGUGUUCUGUAAUUUUCUGACAAAUCAUCUUGUUGUCAUCAUUUGGAUACAUACAGUGCCAGAAACUGUAAAGCUAUGUUUAUUCAACUUUUAUGACUCUUAAUUGUAUGCUAGAAGAUUUGAAACACAGUCCUGUUGUACAUACUUAAUGUGCAUUCUUGCAUUACAUUGCGGCGCUAACAAACGUUAGUACUCAAGGGGACGAUGUUAUGAAGCUAGCAAUAAACAUUGGCAGUAACUAACCCCCAGAAGACAGUUUGUUGUAUUGUUAAUAUAUGAAAUAGAGACCCUUGUGGCAAUGCUGAGAAUAUAUAUAUAUAUAUAUAUACAGUAUCUCACAGAAGUGAGUACACCCCUCACAUUUUUGUAAAUAUUUUAUUAUAUCUUUUCAUGUGACAACACUGAAGAAAUGACACUUUGCUACAAUGUAAAGUAGUGAGUGUACAGCUUGUAUAACAGUGUAAAUUUGCUGUCCCCUCAAAAUAACUCCACACACAGCUAUUAAUGUCUAAACCGCUGGCCACAAAAGUGAGUACACCCCUAAGUGAAAAUGUCCAAAUUCAGGAACUUUUUAUUUGAACUUUUUAUUUAAAUAAACAUUUAAAUAAAAAGUUAUUUGUGUGACCGCAUAUUGCUGAUAAUUGCCUUUCAUUCACUUAAUGGAGUUUGUGGUUACAGUUUCAUCGGAUCGUGAUCCUAAAUGUCGGAUACAACUGACCAAUAUUGAUUAGCCUACAUCUUGGAUAAAAUUCGCAACUACAACACACAUAUUCAUGCACAAAUGCAGGUAUGUUCUACAUGUCUAAAGUACAGAAAGAAUAAACUGAUUGAUUUCACUUAUCAACUUAUAAUCUGGAUGUAUAAUAAACCAUAGUAAAAAUUUAUUUACAUCUCUCGACAAAAAGGUUUUUGCAGGUUUUAAUAAAAUGUUAUUUAUUAACAGGAGUCAUAAUAACCAUAUUUCCAGUACGUGCCUCAGGCUUGCAUGGUAUCGUCAACUCACUCAUCAGACUCCUCGGUAAUCCUCGGCAAACCUCGACAGCCAGUUGAACCGGCUCAUUCGGUUCUUUUUGAGUCCUCGGUAAUCCUCUGCAAACUUCGACAGUUGGUUGAACCGGCUCAAUCGGUUGUUUUUGAGUCGGACGUGCUACUUCAGCUUGUGCGUCUUGCGUCAUUAACCCGGAACUAAAGUUCGAUUCAGUUCGAUUAGUCAACCGGCUCGACCGGUUACUUCCUGAGAACCGGUUUCAACCGGCUCAAAAGAACAAUUCGUUCAAGAACUGAACAUCACUAUUAGGUAUUCCAUACCAGCCGACAAAGACCCCAAUAACAACAUAAUGAUCAGCAUCUGUCCUACCCUAUAAAUCAUUUUGAGUGAACUCUAUAUGAUCCGUAAUGUCUUAAUACAAUCUAAAGAACACAUAGUUAUUAUGGUAACAAGAACAGAGAGGAAAGGACAUUUCUCUGCCCAUAAUUUAAGGUUGGGAAUGCUGUGGCUUGCCUGUGCUUGUGCUAAAUUUCAAGCAUUGCAUUGCAAACAAAUAGGAGAUAAAUUAAGUCACAGUCAUGACCUUGCAGGCAGACAACGUUUUCACAGAUGUCUUAGUAUUUAUACUAAUGAAAGAGAUAGAUAUAAGUAUUUCAAGUUAUUUUUUAGCUCAUAAAACAGCUAUGGAUCUAAAUUCUCUUCCAGAAUUGCUUUCUUUUUAAUCUCAAGGUCCUCAUUGGGGAAGAUAACAGAUUGUUUGGGGGAGCGUUUUCUUGAUAAGAAACCUGUGAAAUGGGACUCCUUGUUUUUGGAUUCAGCUCUUCUUGCGUGAAUAGUCCUGUUAUCCUGCUGUUUGAGGGAAAAGGAGGGGUUAGUGUGAAUUUAAACUCAUUUCUAUUGUGCCAUCAGAUAGUACUGAUGGUUUAAUUACUUUCUGUAAACUCCAUGAGCAGAUUUGAUAUCAGAUUAAAGAUGGCCGAGAAGAUGGCCUCAGGCUGAAGUGGGUGCAGAUCCGUCUCGAAAUCCGUCAACACUUUCUUUGGUCCAAAGGUUCUUAUCAGUCGCAGUGUGACAUAUCUUGAUCGGACCAAAUAGUUUUCCCUCUGACCCCCAAGGGUCAGCUUUACCUUAUCAACUUUAAUGUCCACAUGCACUGCUGGAGGAGUCGGAGGCCUCGGGUUAUGUGCAGUUUAUCUUGGUUGACACUCCCUUGUUUUUAUUUAAAUCAGUUAUAGGAAUUCGCAGAAGGUUCACAGUUUUAUUUGUAGAAAACCUCCUACAUUUAUAAGAGCUUUCUUUUUCUUACAUCAAUAGGAGGAGAUGGUUUCAAGAAGCUCUGCUGGGUGAUACAGAACAGGAAUGGCUCUCAGCGUGAAGAUCGGCCCAGAUCUCUUCCCACACACCUCUUCACACAGCUGCAGUAAACUACAGAACGUGGAAUUGUUCAGACAUGGUUUGCAACUUACCAUAGAAUGACCCAGGAACUAAGACAGAGAGAGGAGCCUGUGACGCACCUGACAGUAACCUGAUCUGUGUUGGAGAGAAUCAUGCCAUUGACUCUGAGGGAUGCUGGUUAUGUUGACAGAGACACUACGGCAUUUGUCCGUGUUAAAAUCAGAGAGUGUGCCUCCUAAUCUCACAGAUCCAGCACCAGAUCUGCUUAUCAUCAUGAAUUACACCCAGAGGUAAAGGAAUGAGAUACAACGAGUGCACUAGGAUGCAAUCACUAGAAGUUCAGCUCAAGAUGCCCGAAACAGAGGAAUGUAGUGAGAGAAAAGUGGACAUGUGAGUAAAAGAAAAAGUGAGUAAGAAGUGUAAGACAAGAGAAACAUUCAUGGCCCCAUUAGGAGAGUAAAUGUGCUCCAAUCACUGCCAGGCGACCUGCCCCAAGAACAGAGAAAGAGAGAGAGGAGGAUGAUGGGAAGGUAGCACUUCCAUGCGUGCUCUAAUGCGCUGUCUGGCACAUUGCCUGAGGCUUUGUUAACUCAAUACCACAUUUGGCACUGGUCAGAAAUCCACAGCAUCACUCCAUUGCACUCCUGCAGCUCA
Ctenopharyngodon idella (grass carp) is the source of this 5462-nucleotide long non-coding RNA. RefSeq lists it as uncharacterized. The record is from RefSeq and is a predicted model, not a curated record. Lineage: Eukaryota; Metazoa; Chordata; Actinopteri; Cypriniformes; Xenocyprididae. The transcript has 8 exons.